Glycine soja is the source of this 2762-nucleotide RNA transcript. It is a transcript of the gene named protein FRIGIDA-like, with no coding region annotated. The record is from RefSeq and is a predicted model, not a curated record. The transcript has 4 exons. Lineage: Eukaryota; Viridiplantae; Streptophyta; Magnoliopsida; Fabales; Fabaceae.
CACAUCCGAUCCUUCUACUGUAGCGGCACUUGCCAUCCACGUGACCAGAUCACAUUCCUGUUGUGCCAGUGUCACCGGAAAAAAAAAAACUUGAAAUUUCUCCCUUCGGCACAAAGUUUAGGGUUUUUCACUUUCUUCCUUCCUUCCUUCAUUCUCGUUCCGUUCCGUCACUAUCCAAGUAUGGAAGAAACACCCGAACACGUCUCAUACUGUCCGUUGUCGCUGCCGCCGGAAGACGAAAACAACAGCGGCGCCAAAUUGGCGAAAUCGGUGAACGAACUCAACGACCUCGCCGUUGCAAUACAAGCCUUCAAGAACAGGUAUGACGAAUUGCAGAAACACCUCGAAUUCAUCGAACAAGCCAUCCACACGAGAACCAAGGAGCUCCGAGCAUUAGGCGCCAAUUCUGCGCAAGGAACCGCCGAAAACGGCGUCGUUCAAUUGGAUUCAAAUCCGAAGCCAGAAGUAACCCAGGCGGAAGAGAGAGAAGAAGAAGAAGAAGAAGACGAGCUUCUUACGCUUUGCAAAACGAUGAAUAGCCGGGGCCUGCGUAAAUACGUGUUAACGCGUCUGUCCGAAACGGCGUCGCUUCGGGAACAGGUCCCCCUUGCGCUGAGGAGCGCGCCGAACCCCCCGAGGCUGGUGUUUGAAUGCAUUGGGAGGUUUUUUCUUCAGGGGAGCAAAGCCUACACGAAGGACUCGCCGAUGAUUCCCGCGAGGCAGGUUUCGGUGCUGGUUUUGGAGUACUAUCUGCUCUCUGGCUGCGUUGGGAAUGAGGUGGACUUGGAGGCUUCGCUGAAGAGGGAGGUGGAUUCCGCGGCGGUUGCGUGGAGGAAGAGGAUCUUUGUUGAAGGGGGUUUGCUGAAGGCAGCUGAGGUUGAUGCCAGGGGUUUGAUUCUUUUCAUCGCCAUCUUCGGGAUCCCCACUGUUUUCAAGGAUGAGGAUAUAUACAGCUUGGUUAGUGCUAGCAAUGGUAGAGAAUUUUCCGAUGCCCUGCUCAAGUCUCAGCCCCUGCUUAAGAGGGUUUCUGAUGUUGCAGAUGGGAUGAUAAAAAAAGGCAUGGCCGUUAAAGCUGUUGAUUUGGCUUACACUUUUGGCUUUGAAGAGAAAUAUUCUCCUCGGACAGCUCUGACUUCAUUUCUGCAGAAGUCUGAAGAAACUUGGAAGAAAGCCAAACAAGACGCACGCGAUUUUCCUAGUGCGCUGAAGGUAGCACAUGAAAAAUAUUUAGCUGCUUUGAAAUCUGUAGUCAACUGUUUGGAAGGUCACAAGAUUGACUUUGUAAAACUUCUUCCUGGGUGGCAACUUAAGAAUAAGAUUACGAACUUGGAGAAAGAUAUUGGUGAUGCCAAUAAAAAAAUUGAAGAGAAGUCAAUGCUCAAGAGAAAAGUGGAUAAAAACAAUUCUUCUAACAAGAUGAAGAUUCCAGAGGCUAAACGAACAAGGUUCACUGGGAAAGAUGCAUCUGUGCUAUCACCUUCCCUCGCUAUCUUGCAAGAGCAAAGGAUUGUUAGUCACAUGGAUGGCAAUAGCUCAUAUGAUGGUUCAUUGUCGGCACUUUUACUGGAUGGUAGAUCCUAUGGCAAUUACCCGAAUAAUUAUCUUGCUGCCACAUCCAUUUCAGAUUCUUUGGCCGAAAAAUAUCUUGGAAGUACAGUGGCAAGUGGGGCUAAUAUGCUUGGAGGAGCUAUGGGUGGUUCAUAUUCUGGGUAUCAGGGGGAUAUGAUAAGAGACAAUGUUGGGACAGUGCUAAAUAGCAACAGUCAUCUGUAUAGAUAUCAUGGUAUUGGGGAAGGGGCAUUAUCUCAUGAUAGGCCAGUUGGGCAGAGUUUUGUGGGACAAUCUGCAUCAACAUUGAAUAAUUUGUAUGGGAAAACAUCCACAGAAGGUUUUGCUGGUGUGCCAGAGCAUCUCUCUAUUGGUGCUUCUAGUCGCAGUGGAGGUUCUGAUUUGUAUGGCUUUGCUGAUGCUGUUUUUGAUGCAUAGUCAUACCAGGGCAGCAGUUCUCCAAAUUACUGUGGUUUUGAUCAGCUGGGAAGCAUGUGUUUUGAUCAUCCUCAACAAAUUUUUACCUGCCCAUGGAAAUACAGAAUUACGUCAGGAGGACCAAUGGUUGGUGCUACGCUGUGCCAUUACAGGAAUUGAGGUUGCGGUGGUGGUAGCCAGCAAUAUCUGUUGCGAGGCGACGGUAGAUGUAGUCAGCGGUAGCUGUUGCAUGUUAAAGUUGACAAUUCCGGCGACAAUGAGAUGGAUUGUAUAUGCAAAUAUUAAGCUUGGAGUCACCGAUAGCUCCAUCAGAAAGCUUGUCCUUUACCCUAUCGUGGUUGUUGCUGUCGUUGUCGCUCCUCCUUUACCCUCACUCCAGCUCUGGCAACAACACCAGUUUCAACGUCACCUCAUUGUUGAUUUGAUCAACGACUACUGGCCAACCUCUCGCUAUUCAUGAUGCACAGAGAUUCAGUGACUCAUGGAGGCAUAUAUGUGGAUACACUGUUGUGUUCAAUGGAUUGACUGGACUUUCUAUGGUCGUUUCUUUACUUUCUUUGCCUGAGCAGUCCCAUUUAUACUCAUUCAAUUUUAUUUAUUGGACGCUAAACCUGAAAACUGAGGUAGAAAAACCAAGUUGGACAUAGCUUCAACUUGGUAAACGUAGGAUUUUGGCUUUCGUAGUUCAUUUUUUUUAUUCAUGUUCGUUUGAUACAUAAUUGCAGCUAUGCUUAUUAGUUAAAAAUUUCUAUUAAAAAAAAGUGUUGGGUGAAUUA